AAAACAGUUGAAGUGGUUUUGAAAUAGUAUUGAGUAAAAGUUGACAUAUUCCAGUCUGUGAUUAUCCAUCAACAUCCAUUCCUUUAAUUUUAGUCUCAAUGAUUCCUAAUUUCUGCUUUUCUAACUCAAACAUUAGGUAUAAUUUCCUAUAAAUGAGGUUUAUUGACCAUAAAUUCCAAAGAUAACUGUAAAAGUUAAUAGGUUAGUGUUCCAUCAACAUCCAUUCCUUUAAUUUUAGUCAACAUAAUUCCUAAUUUCUGCUUUUCUAACUCAAACAUUAGGUAUAAUUUCCUUAUUUGCUGACCAAAAACAACUGUAAAACUAAAGUUAAUACGUUAGUGUUACGUAGUGUUGAAAACGUCAAAAAAGUGACAAACAAACGUAAGAAAAAGUUAAAAAGGUCAACCAAAUUGUUGAUUUUCAAUUUUGACAGGAACACAAGGGUUAAUCAACACAUCGGUAGCUGUUUCCAGUAUUUAUUUCCAGUUGGAAGCUAUACAUUAGUGAUUUGUGGGGUGGAUGCUAAUAGGCUGCAUACCAUUUCUAAUCUAGGUUACUCUACUUGAAUUAAUGGUUACAACCAAAUACUUACAUGUCUGCAAAAACUACAAAUGCAAUACGUGAAUUAAUGAAAAGUUUCUUACUUACUUAUGUCCACCAUGUUACUGCGUCAUAUGACGCCAACUUUCUGAGUUGUGGUUCAGACCUGAGGGGGCAUUCCCGUGAAUUUUCAUAAUUGGGAACUGCUUUUUUCGUCCAAUAAUUCCAACAGCAUGCGAAUGCAGCAUCAUAACCACAACACUUUUGGAUAUAGAUUUGAAAUAUGGAGCCACAUCCAGGACACGGUUGGCUUCGACAGAAAGCAUAAAAAAAAACAAGCAAAUUCUCUUGUUUUUUGUACAUAAUGAACAAACAAGAUACAACGUAAUAAUAAAAUAAUUUAGGGUGCUUUUUUUCCCUUUUUUUUUAAACCUUUGGACAGCGGGACGCUCCCUAACUUUCUCACCCUUGGCUUCAUUCUUUGUUCUUAGCCAGCUAAGCUAACUGUCUCCCAGCUGUAGCUUCCUAUAUCACAUGAAGACAUGAGAGCGAUAUCGACCUUCUCAUCCAACUCGAUAAGAAAGUGGAUAAGCGUACUUUCCAAAAUGUCAAACUAAUGUCAUCCCUAUCAGUUAGUGUGGAUGGCACGUCAAUCUUGAAAGCUCACUGUGUCACAGAAACAAAUACACCCAAUAAAAUCAGUACUGCGGUUUUUCUGCUAGCAGUCAUUCGCAGUAGGAGGACAGAUAUAGUCAUCUGACUUACUCAGAGCGAUGAUAAACUAAAUUAUAAGGCCGUGAAAAGAUUUGAAGGAGAAACUGUAAUUCAGGAAAAUUGAAUCAGUGCUAAGAAUUGGACUCAGGGUGUUAUGUUUUGGAUUGGAUUGUGAGACAGCUAUCUCCUUUCCUUUGUGAUGAAUGGAUCUGUGUACUGUUAGCAUGCGUUGCUAUUUCCUUCCACUUCAGUUGUCUCAGUGUGGAACCCCCCAACUCUUCAAGUCCUGUAUUAAUAAUUCUGACUCCCUGGGAGAGAUGGUUGCCUUUUUUUCCUUCAGUCAGUCAAAAAUGUCUGACUUUCUCUGCAUUGCAGCAAAAAACAUUUGACUUCCCUCCUGUCCGCCAAUCAGAAUCAUCUCCUCCUUCUCACCCAGCCAAUGAACGCGCUCCCACCCUAAAACGAAAGAACGAGCCUCCUUUGUGCGAUACUGUAAUGAUAAAAGUACAUGUACAUUACGAUACGACUGUAAUCUUAUUUAUGAAUAUAAACCGAUAUAAUAUGUAAAUGUACCACUAGCUUCGACCUUAUUUCAUAUGAUGACACAGCUACUGUUUGUGUGUGUGUGUGUGUGAGAGUGAGAGAGUGAGAGAGUGAGCAUGAGUGGAUGCCUGUAAAAGCUCAGUGUGUGCUGUAUGUCGGGAUACUUUUGCGAGUGUUCACGUGUGUUUUGCAUUUGUAUCAUUUGUGUAACAAGAGAUGCCUCAGUGUAGUAUAACUGUACAAAUUUGAGUGUGAACCCUCACGCCGAAGCACUAUGAUAUGUAUUAUUACCCACACCCACACUUUGCUUUCGUGGUCCGCUGGUAUCCGGUUUGUACUGUCUCCGAUAUGGGACGUGUGGUUUUGUUUGCUGUAUACCGUUGCAGUUCUAUAAGUAUUACUCCUAUAGAUGUUCACCAAAUGACAGUUGACGUGCGGAGAGGGGGCUUUCUGAAACGGAUGGUGUUGAGAAGUUGUUGACAGGGGAAUCCUGAGGAAUAAGGAGGGGGGUGCCAGUGAUAAUAAUAGAAAACACUGUCCUGUGUUACAGUGUCACCCAGUGGAUAGAAGUAUAACGUCAUGCCUCACAACAACUCAACAACUGUACUGCUCCCCCUUGUGAAUAACCCAAUGAAUACCCCAUGAUCAAGACAACAUAGACAAUAUUCAACAUGAUGUUACUAUAUAUUAGUCUUUGUUCAGUCUUGUGUUUCUCAAAAGUGCAGACAUCUGAAGGUGGAGUGAGAAAAUGUCAUCAAGGUGAAUCGGAUUGUUGUUGGUUAAGUAUACAGCAACAGAAGUGAAGCCACUCGAUGAAUGGGACUUUUCUGAAAUUCAAAAGCUUUUAUAGAAUGAAGAUCUCUUAAGUGAAAGUGAAAUUAAGCAAAAGAAGCAGAAGCUUAGACACCAAAAGCUUAAUUUACAAGAAGGAUGACAGCAAAUGAGCGCUCAUGUUGCUCUUUAUUUGCCGGGAUAUGUGAAUAUACAAUUCUAUUCACCAUAGCAAAUGAAGAUUGUGAUGAAAUGCCAAUAUUCAUUUUUGGCUUUUCUUCCUGGCAGACACCAAGUGGCAAAACAAAUGAUUAAACACACAAAGAAAAAAGUAUUAACACAGCUUUAAAGCCAAUGUAAAGUAUGUAAGAUUUAACAUACUAGCAACAAAAAAGCAUUUUUAUUGGGAUUAUCAAUCAGCAUAACAGAUGUUUGAGUAGGGCUGCAACUAAUAACUAUUUGCAUUGUUUCUUGAUUAAUCAAUCAGUUUUCCGGUCUAUAAAAUAACAGAAAAUGGGGAAAGAAUCCCAAACUCCUAUCCUCAAAUAUCUUGUUUUGUCCCUUCUCAAAUGUAUUCAUUUUACUGUCACAGAUGAGUAAAGGAACCAGAACAUAUUCCCAUUUAGAAAGCUACAGUCAGAGAUUUUUUGAAACUUUUUUUCCUAAAAUAUUACACAAACUGAUUCGUCGACCAUCAAAAUAGUUGAUUGUUGUCGUUCAUUCAAUACAGUUAAUGAGUUAUGUCAUUGGGUUUUUCAUAAAGAGCAGGUCUAGACUGUACUCUGUGAUCUUAUUUACAGAAACCCAACAAUUAAGAAGCUGAAAGGAGUUCACAAUUGAGCAAUUCAACUUUGAGAUCGUUCUAUAUUUGAGGGAUGCAAAAUAUAAUCCUAAAAAUUCUCCACGUGUUGUUGGAGUUAGAUUAUCUCACUCUACUGGCAGAUUUCUUGACACCUAUUGAAACACCACCAAAGACCCAGGAUUACGUUUGACACAACCAGAAGGACGAUCUUGCAAAUAGUUAGCAGAAUCCAAAUAGUGUCCCAUACUUUUGUUUUGACUAAUUUCAUUAUAAUCGCGGUCUUGGUUUAAUCAUCUGAGCGCUACGGAGUAGAACUGUUUUGAUAUGACAAAGUGUUGAUGUGUGCUGAUUAGAUUCCGUCCAUUCUUAAUAGUACCGGCUCAGAGCGAGGGAGACACUUGGACGUUUGUCCCUAAGAUUGCAGACACUAAUGAUUUUUGCUUUUUUUUUUCUCAUUGCAUGUUUUUCAUGCAGUAUCCAAUUCAAAACUACUUACAGACAAUUCAACUGUCACUCCUUAGUUGUCAAAGAUUUUUUUUUAAAUCUAAAAUUUUCUUUUGGGAUGAAUAAAGCAUCAAUCUAUCUAUCUAUCUAUCUAAGAUGACAUUUAUGGAACUGAAAUAAAAUACAUGAAUAUGAAAUGUGGUUGUAUCAGGUGGAGGUAAACAUGAAGAGAAAACCCCUGCACAGGCGCUCUGAGCUGUGUCACACACUUAAGAACAUGGAUAUUCUACUUUUAUUUCGACACGGGAUCAUUUGUACUUGGUUGUGUGACAUGAGUCUAUUCUUCGACAUUACGCUUUGAUGUUCAUGUAAAUGUCUAUUUGUCCCGUUUGAUGAUUUUUGCUUUUGAUUUCUUUCUUUUUUUUUGGUUUUAAAUAUUGUUAGGCUCCUAGAACAAAGACAAUGUAAUUAUUUUUGUUACAUAGAAUAAAACACAUGGAUGUCCAGA
Molecule: long non-coding RNA, 4322 nt
Organism: Etheostoma spectabile (orangethroat darter)
Lineage: Eukaryota; Metazoa; Chordata; Actinopteri; Perciformes; Percidae
Exons: 2
Source: RefSeq, a predicted model, not a curated record